This 427-nucleotide ribosomal RNA is filed under the name uncultured bacterium. Its description in RNAcentral is "partial 16S ribosomal RNA". It matches the Rfam family "Bacterial small subunit ribosomal RNA", at positions 355 to 774 of the family's 1533-position model. The record is from RNAcentral.
UGGGGAAUAUUGGACAAUGGGCGAAAGCCUGAUCCAGCCAUGCCGCGUGUGUGAAGAAGGUCUUCGGAUUGUAAAGCACUUUAAGUUGGGAGGAAGGGCAUUAACCUAAUACGUUAGUGUUUUGACGUUACCGACAGAAUAAGCACCGGCUAACUCUGUGCCAGCAGCCGCGGUAAUACAGAGGGUGCAAGCGUUAAUCGGAAUUACUGGGCGUAAAGCGCGCGUAGGUGGUUUGUUAAGUUGGAUGUGAAAUCCCCGGGCUCAACCUGGGAACUGCAUUCAAAACUGACUGACUAGAGUAUGGUAGAGGGUGGUGGAAUUUCCUGUGUAGCGGUUAAAUGCGUAGAUAUAGGAAGGAACACCAGUUGCGAAGGCGACCACCUGGACUAAUACUGACACUGAGGUGCGAAAGCGUGGGGAGCAAACA